CCUACGGGAGGCAGCAGUGGGGAAUAUUGGACAAUGGGCGCAAGCUGGAUUCCAGCCAUACCGCGUGGGUGAAGAAGGCCUUCGGGUUGUAAAGCCCUUUUGUUGGGAAAGAAAUCCUAUCGGUUAAUAACCGGUGGGGAUGACGGUACCCAAAGAAUAAGCACCGGCUAACUUCGUGCCAGCAGCCGCGGUAAUACGAAGGGUGCCAAGCGUUACUCGGAAUUACUGGGCGUAAAGCGUGCGUAGGUGGUGGUUUAAGUCUGCUGUGAAAGCCCUGGGCUCAACCUGGGAAUUGCAGUGGAUACUGGAUUACUAGAGUGUGGUAGAGGGAUGCGGAAUUUCUGGUGUAGCAGUGAAAUGCGUAGAGAUCAGAAGGAACAUCCGUGGCGAAGGCGGCAUCCUGGGCCAACACUGACACUGAGGCACGAAAGCGUGGGGAGCAAACAGGAUUAGAUACCCUGGUAGUCCACGCCCUAAACGAUGCGAACUGGAUGUUGGGUGCAGCUUGGCACCCAGUAUCGAAGCCAACGCGUUAAGUUCGCCGCCUGGGGAGUACGGUCGCAAGACUGAAACUCAAAGGAAUUGACGGGG
RNAcentral lists this ribosomal RNA (591 nucleotides) under aquatic bacterium STS_R2A_25. Its description in RNAcentral is "bacterial SSU rRNA". It matches the Rfam family "Bacterial small subunit ribosomal RNA", at positions 338 to 918 of the family's 1533-position model. Lineage: Bacteria; Pseudomonadati; Pseudomonadota; Gammaproteobacteria; Lysobacterales; Lysobacteraceae. The record is from RNAcentral.